RNAcentral lists this ribosomal RNA (403 nucleotides) under Dawsonius aff. latispina ULLZ 6175. RNAcentral describes it as "partial small subunit ribosomal RNA". The record is from RNAcentral. Lineage: Eukaryota; Metazoa; Arthropoda; Malacostraca; Decapoda; Ctenochelidae.
AUUUUUAGAAAAAAUCAUAAAUACUAGAAUACUAUAAACUAUACUCUUUCAAACUCAAAGGAUUUGGCGGUGCUUUAGUCCAGUCAGAGGAACCUGUUAAAUAAACGAUACACCACGCAAUAUCUUACCUGCCCCUAAAGCCUGUAUACCAUCAUUAUCAGAUAACUCUAAUAAGAUUAGUUAUUAAUAAAAACCAUAUUUUUUUAUAUUAGAUCAAGGUGCAGCCAAUGGGUAGGUUUCAAUGGGUUACAAUAAUUCAUAAUUAACGAACUCCAAGACUAACUCUUAGAUGAAGACGGAUUUGAUAGUAAAGUUAUUUUAAUAAGGAAUCUUGAUAAAGGAUCUAAAUCAAGUACAUAUCGCCCGUCACUUUCAUUUAAAAAUGAAAUAAGUCGUAACAUAG